AAAAAAAAAAAAAAGCCGUUUGAGUCAUGCCAUCAACAUGGAGGUCGUAUCAUGCCAAUACCUUGUCGACAUGGUACGGCUUGAUGGACAGAGUCUGUGCCAAUGGACACUUAAAUCCUUAGUGGAUACUCUUUCUACCAAAUCAAUACCAUGUUGGCAAAGCAAUAUAGUGCGGCACUCAAAACACAAUGAACCAUUUCCUGUGUUCACAUGUACGUAGGGAAAGGGAUUUCUAGUUUUCUACACAUAAAGAGAUUUUGAAGGCGGGCCAAGGAUUUAUAUGGACAUUGAGCAUUUCUCAACACAAUCAAUUAUCACCAUGUUUUUAACAUCGUGAGUGAUUCACCAUUUUCAGCAGAUAUUCAAUACCUCCCUUUCAGUGCCAACAUAGUUUGGAUGUGGUAAAAGACUAAAAGCGAGUUCCACAAGCAGUUUUUAUGUGGGAUUAUUUUAUGAAAGAACAAUAAACUACAUACGAGCACCAUAUAUCUGACUUGAUAUGGUAUCUUUUAAGUUAUAACUAAAUAAUAGAAGAGAAAAUUGACUACUUAAGUACAAAAAUAGAAAUACAUGGUGAAAUUCAAUUGUGCAUAAAACAAAUAUUAUUGCUAAAAUCAAGUGCUAAAUUCAUUUAAAAACCAUAAAUCAACUUACUGAAAACAAAGAAUCUAGGAUAGAAGGUAAACCUUGAGUUCAUAUUUUCUCAAUGUCUUAAUGACAAAUCUUUCAUCCUGUGAAAGAUAGAAUAUGCUCCCACUUUUCCCUGGAGAAGAAAGCUCCUUUAAACCAUCACCCCCACAUAUGGACAUCAUGUAAUCUGCAGCAUCAAUCUUAAACAUUUCCCGAAGGUUCCUGAAAAUAUAGUUUGAUAGAAAGAUCAAUUAGAUGAAGAUAUUGUCAAAUGUCACUUGAUCCAGAAACUUGUAGUGAAGAGUUGGGUGCCAUCGCAGUAUAUCAAGUUACUUCUACCGUCCAACAGGUAGAGAUCAGCUGUAUAAGCAGAGUAGAAAUCCCUUGCAAUAGUUGUAGAAUCUUAUUGCAAUUGUCCAUUUUCAGAAAGCUGGCAUAUCAUUGAUCAAUAGAUGAAAAAUAGCAUAAAAUGUAUGGAUAGACCAUGUACUAUCCUGCUAUUGCAAUUUAGUCCUUGGAACUUUUUAUUCAGACACUUCAGCACUGCACUUUCUCAUAUACUCCUGGCCAUUAAUGCCUUUGUGCUAUGAAACGACCUUUUAUGGGUACACAGAAACCAAAGAAGUCAUUUUAUAAAAGGAGAAUUCAUUGGAAAAAAGAAAAAGCUAAAUUACAUAAAACCCUCCCGUCAAAACCCAAUUUUUUACUUUCCCCCCCUGUCAUUUAAAGACCUACACUUUGCCCCCUUAUAAAAUAAAAAACGUUCACUGGGGGGUACAGUGUGAAAUGUGAUGACAAAAUGACCAUUUUAACCCUCACUAUUUUCGUCUCCUCCUCAUCUUGCUCAUUCACUGCCUUGAUCGGCCGCGAUUCCUCUCCAUUUUUUUUUCCACCUACUCCCCUUCCCCUCCUGCACUCUCGUCACCUCUCCAUUUUGGCGACAGUAGGGAGGAAAUCGAGAUGAGCGUGGAUGGAAAGGUGGGCAAAGGCAACGAAGGCGAAGGUGAGGCGGCGGAGGAGGGCGAGAGGGUGUUUAUGGGCGCAGACGGAGACGUGGGCGAGGGAGAGGCAGUGAAGAAGGGCGAGGUGGCGAGGCGGAUGACGACAAAGCACAGUAGAGGGCGGAGGGUAUUUUUGGCAUAAAAAAUAUUUUAUAACGGAGCCCUAACAGAUCACUAACGGUAGGAGGUGAAGUGAACAUUUUUCAUUUUACAAGGAGGCAAAGUGUAGGUUUUUAAAUAAUAGGGAGGGAAAGUGAAAAAUGGGGUUUUGACAGGGAGGUUUUCUGUAAUUUAGCCAAAAGAAAAUGAUAUUUUUAAUGUUUAUAGAUGAAUUAGAAUAUUUUAAAACAC
This 1982-nucleotide long non-coding RNA is filed under the name Ananas comosus (pineapple). RNAcentral's name for it is "long non-coding RNA (ACOM_LNC023318)". Lineage: Eukaryota; Viridiplantae; Streptophyta; Magnoliopsida; Poales; Bromeliaceae. The record is from RNAcentral.